Molecule: transfer RNA, 72 nt
Organism: Camelus ferus (Wild Bactrian camel)
Lineage: Eukaryota; Metazoa; Chordata; Mammalia; Artiodactyla; Camelidae
Rfam family: tRNA
About the family: Transfer RNA (tRNA) molecules are approximately 80 nucleotides in length. Their secondary structure includes four short double-helical elements and three loops (D, anti-codon, and T loops).
Source: Rfam
GUGGGUAUAGCUCAGUAGCAGAGUGCAUGCUUACCAUGCUUGAGGUCCUGGGUUCAAUUCCCAGUACUUCCA